RNAcentral lists this unclassified non-coding RNA (329 nucleotides) under soil metagenome. RNAcentral's name for it is "partial contains 5.8S ribosomal RNA, internal transcribed spacer 2, and large subunit ribosomal RNA". The stretch from base 1 to 120 matches the Rfam family "5.8S ribosomal RNA", at positions 35 to 154 of the family's 154-position model. The record is from RNAcentral.
GAUGAAGAACGUAGCGAAAUGCGAUAAGUAAUGUGAAUUGCAGAAUUCAGUGAAUCAUCGAAUCUUUGAACGCACAUUGCGCCCCCUGGUAUUCCGGGGGGCAUGCCUGUCCGAGCGUCAUUACAACCCUCAAGCUCAGCUUGGUAUUGGGCCCCGCCGCUUCGGCGGGCCCUAAAGUCAGUGGCGGUGCCGUCCGGCUCCGAGCGUAGUAAUUCUUCUCGCUCUGGAGGCCCGGUCGUGUGCUUGCCAGCAACCCCCAAUUUUUUUCAGGUUGACCUCGGAUCAGGUAGGGAUACCCGCUGAACUUAAGCAUAUCAAUAAGCGGAGGA